UCGUGGUAUGCCUCGAAAUCAUCCAACGAUGACAUUUUAUGUGGGUUAUCUUUACUCUUUGGAGUAUUCUCAAUCAAGUAUUGGUAUUCUCACGCGCUCAACAAUAGAGUAUGUCAUUUAGAUUUGACAAAUAUCUAUAUUGGGUAUUCUCAUGCGUUGGUCUUCUUACGUACUCAACAAAAUAUUAUGUCACUCUGCCUUGACAAAAAUACAUAUGAUAUUGCAUUGCUCAUCAACAAAUUGGAUAUUCUCAAGUGUUGGUCUUUUUAUGCGCCCAAUGAAAUGAAAGAAAUAUGGAGUUCGAAUUUGGACUGUUGGUCUUAAUGAAAGUUGUAGUUCGUCUUGAUACGAGUUCGUGAGCGCAAACGGUUUGUAAAUCCGAGUUCGGACGAGGAAGAUAUGAUCGAAACAAGAAAGUCGCGCGCAGCAGUGAAUAGUGCCCGACGGGAAUUUCCGAAUUUUCGGGAUUUUCGGAUUUUAUCAGUAUUUUCGAGCUCUGUACUGUAUUUAUCCCCUGUGCCUAUAUAUAGGUCUUCUUUUGACCUAUUCAGGGUUCCCAACUUUACUUUCUCAGUUCCCAACUAUAUUUUUCAGUUCCCAACUUUUAUAUUUCAGUUUUCAUAGCUUUAGAAUUUAUUGCUUUCCAGUUUUUACUGCUUGGAUUGGAUUUCCACAAGAUUGAAGAUUCAAGCUGACACAAUUGUUCUACUUUCGAUUUUUAUACAAUUCAGUUUUUAUAA
Molecule: long non-coding RNA, 740 nt
Organism: Salvia miltiorrhiza (redroot sage)
Lineage: Eukaryota; Viridiplantae; Streptophyta; Magnoliopsida; Lamiales; Lamiaceae
Exons: 2
Source: RefSeq, a predicted model, not a curated record